CAGAGCGGCAACCCCUUCCCGCGAGGGUUACUCCUGAGGUGCCAAGAGUUGCAAGGAGGGCACAGUUGUGCCAGCGAAGGGCAGCUUUUUGAGCUUCCAGGCAUCUAUUUUGCUGUGGAACUGAAAUACAACCCAAAGAACUGCAAGGAAGAGAAAUCUCAAGACUACUUUCUCCAAAGAAAUCUGGAUUGAAAAUCAGAACACAGUGAAAAUGACUUAGAUAAAAUAAUGCCACAGAUAUAUCUAAAAUGUGAAUGAAGCUGGAAGCAGCAGAGGACCACACACCAUGAAAUGUAAACAGAGGAGAAAAAAGCUAGAUGCCAGACAGGAAGAGAAGAACCAGAAGAGCAGUCUUUACAAAUAGAGCAACACUAAUACUCCAAGAAGAUGGGCCAUGCUUAUCCUGAGUGUGCUCCCCAAAGAUGCCAGUCAGAAGCCGACAGUAUGGAAUGAAGGGCAGCACAGGUGGAAGGCGAUGUGGCUCGGAGAGCAGAGAGUAGAAGAUACCAGAAAUCGGAUACUUUUAUAUGUCUUCCACUGGACCUCACUCCUCAUCCCCAUGCCUCCCUUUCCCAAGGACCUACCUACCUCAGCAUGGGUGGCAGUGAGAAAGACAAUUUUUCAACUCUCAGAGAAUUCCACUGUGUUAAAUGAAAUGAAGAUAAAACUUGACACCAAGAACAUAUCUUGUGUACUUGAGAACAACUGGUCUAAGGAUACCUGUCUUCUGUGAUCUCUCAUCCUAAAAUUCUGCUGCAUCAGAAAUAGCUUCCCUCACUCAUUCAGAGUCUUCCAACUUUUAAACACUAUAUUCUUAAACACUAUAUUCCCCCCAUCCCCCCAAAGUAAAAUAUCCAUCUUGGUUUUAAAAGGACUCUUCAUUACCUCUGCAGCUGCUCUCCCUUGAUUAUUCACUUAAUACUUUUUUUUUUUUUAAAUGGAGCACUUACUAUAAAGAUAGCAAGAAUUGAGACGCAGGGAUGAAAUUCUAGAAGUCUCUGAUGUAAUCUAAUUCCGUAUACACAAAAUAAUGAAGUGCUGCAUUGCGAGAUACUGUGUAGAAUAAGAGCUCAGAAAAGAUAACAGAAAGGAAGGUAAGAUGAAAGGAGAAAGAGUAUGGUCCAGGGUAGUAAAAAUGAGCACCAUGAGAGGAACAGUGAGGAGAUGGCUUGACUAGAACGGGGAGGGGAGGUGACUAGAAAGUCAGACUGUGGUACCAACUAGAUGGAAGAAGGUCUUUUGAGACAGGCAGAGUAAAUUAAACACUAUGAAGCAGGAAUACAUGGCAAAAGGGAUGAUUUAAAACUCUUAAUGAUAAAGGUUGAAAACUGCAUUUGAAGGGAUCAGAACUAUUACAAGGGAGACGGACUAGGAGGUUGCCACAGCACAUGAGUUGGAAGGGGACAAAAGUCUGGACUUGUGUCACAAAACAAGGAGGACUAUGUGCAUGUGCAUGACAGACUAGAUAUAGAUUUGACAACCACAUUUUCCAAAAUAGUCCUAAAUUUGAUUGUCAAGAAAAGUAAUUAUUUAAAUAUACAACUAAAGAUAGGACUGGUUACAUUUAUGUACCCUUUAAGAUUCUUCAUAUAAUUAAACUCAAAAGUCAGAAAAAAAAUCAGACAUUGUAUUCCUAUUUUAUGGUUCACAAAUUUUAGUUAAUCCUGACAUGAGUUAAAGAUGAAGGAAGGGUCAAAAUUAGCUAGAAAAUGCUACCACUGACCCAAACAGUGCUCUAAUCUCAGGAUGUCUGUUCAAGUAAUUUGCAACCUCAGAAUAUACAUCAUAUUCUGAGAAACAACCCUCCCUUCCAAGGCUGGCCCCUCUCAGAAUUUCCCACCCUAAAUGCCUCCAUCUUUUUGCCACCAAGGCCAGCCUCUUCCAGACACAGCUGGAGUCUUCUCUCACAAGGCCCCUAUGUCAUCUUCUGGUACACCACUGAAUUUCAACAGAAUUAUAUAUCUUCCCACAGAGUAAACACUUGAUUAUAGAAAACCAAAAUCCAAAGAGGAUCCUAAACAUGCAUUUUUAAUUUCAAUAGCUUUUGCUGACUUCCAAAGAAAGUUUUACCACUAAAGGUAACAAUCAGAAAAACUCAAUAUCUGAGUUCCACCAACUUUAUAUCCUGCCCUAUUCCUUCUUUAAGGGCCGAUGAAUGAAAAGGCCAAAGCAUGAUGGUGAAAAAAAAAAGCACCUGGAUUAUUCACAAAUUAGAUAAUUUUUUUUGAUAAUUUUUAUAAUUUAGAAUAGAUGAUACUAAAAUGUUAAAGCAAAUGUUAAAAAUUAAAAUUAGCCAAAGGCCAUAGAGAAUUUAAGGCAGUCUGCUAAAGAAUUUUUUUAAAUAAUAAAAAUUUAAGUAAAAUUUACAUGCCCUACAAAACCAAUAUGCUAGCUUUUCACAAUACUAAUGUUCAAUAUUUACC
Balaenoptera acutorostrata (minke whale) is the source of this 2423-nucleotide long non-coding RNA. RefSeq lists it as uncharacterized. NCBI's taxonomy places the organism in Eukaryota, Metazoa, Chordata, Mammalia, Artiodactyla, Balaenopteridae. The transcript is spliced from 5 exons. The record is from RefSeq and is a predicted model, not a curated record.